Heterocephalus glaber (naked mole-rat) is the source of this 147-nucleotide small nucleolar RNA. Lineage: Eukaryota; Metazoa; Chordata; Mammalia; Rodentia; Bathyergidae. The record is from Ensembl.
CUUCAAUGAAGAGAUGAUGACGAGUCUGACUUGGAAGUCCUGUCUUUGUCCAUGUGGCCCUACUCUGUGCUGCGUUCUGUGACACCGGUUAGAGUCCUGGUCCGAGAAACUUCCUAAAGAUGACCUAGAGGCAUUUGUCUGAGAAGG